This 433-nucleotide ribosomal RNA is filed under the name uncultured bacterium. Its description in RNAcentral is "partial 16S ribosomal RNA". It matches the Rfam family "Bacterial small subunit ribosomal RNA", at positions 29 to 507 of the family's 1533-position model. The record is from RNAcentral.
AACGAACGCUGGCGGCAUGCCUAACACAUGCAAGUCGAACGAGACCUUCGGGUCUAGUGGCGCACGGGUGCGUAACGCGUGGGAACCUGCCCUUAGGUUCGGAAUAACUCCCCUAAAGGGGUGCUAAUACCGGAUAAUGUCUUCGGACCAAAGAGUUAUCGCCUUUGGAUGGGCCCGCGUUGGAUUAGCUAGUUGGUAGGGUAAAAGCCUACCAAGGCGACGAUCCAUAGCUGGUCUGAGAGGAUGAUCAGCCACACUGGGACUGAGACACGGCCCAGACUCCUACGGGAGGCAGCAGUGGGGAAUAUUGGACAAUGGGCGAAAGCCUGAUCAAGCAAUGCCGCGUGAGUGAUGAAGGCCUUAGGGUUGUAAAGCUCUUUUACCCGGGAUGAUAAUGACAGUACCGGGAGAAUAAGCUCCGGCUAACUCCGUG